GACGAACGCUGGCGGCGCGCCUAACACAUGCGAGUCGAACGAGCGAGAGAGAGCUUGCUUUCUUGAGCGAGUGGCGAACGGGUGAGUAACGCGUGAGGAACCUGCCUCAAAGAGGGGGACAACAGUUGGAAACGACUGCUAAUACCGCAUAAGCCCACGACCCGGCAUCGGGUUGAGGGAAAAGGAGCAAUCCGCUUUGAGAUGGCCUCGCGUCCGAUUAGCUAGUUGGUGAGGUAACGGCCCACCAAGGCGACGAUCGGUAGCCGGACUGAGAGGUUGAACGGCCACAUUGGGACUGAGACACGGCCCAGACUCCUACGGGAGGCAGCAGUGGGGAAUAUUGCACAAUGGGGGAAACCCUGAUGCAGCGACGCCGCGUGGAGGAAGAAGGUCUUCGGAUUGUAAACUCCUGUUGUUGAGGAAGAUAAUGACGGUACUCAACAAGGAAGUGACGGCUAACUACGUG
This 466-nucleotide ribosomal RNA is filed under the name uncultured bacterium. Its description in RNAcentral is "partial 16S ribosomal RNA". It matches the Rfam family "Bacterial small subunit ribosomal RNA", at positions 28 to 507 of the family's 1533-position model. The record is from RNAcentral.